Molecule: ribosomal RNA, 253 nt
Filed under: uncultured bacterium
Lineage: Bacteria
Description: partial 16S ribosomal RNA
Rfam family: Bacterial small subunit ribosomal RNA
Source: RNAcentral
UACGUAGGGUGCGAGCGUUGUCCGGAAUUAUUGGGCGUAAAGAGCUCGUAGGCGGCUUGUCGCGUCGGAUGUGAAAGCCCGGGGCUUAACCCCGGGUCUGCAUUCGAUACUGGCAGGCUAGAGUUCGGUAGGGGAGAUCGGAAUUCCUGGUGUAGCGGUGAAAUGCGCAGAUAUCAGGAGGAACGCCGGUGGCGAAGGCGGAUCUCUGGGCCGAUACUGACGCUGAGGAGCGAAAGCGUGGGGAGCGAACAGG